Molecule: long non-coding RNA, 357 nt
Organism: Drosophila arizonae
Lineage: Eukaryota; Metazoa; Arthropoda; Insecta; Diptera; Drosophilidae
Source: RefSeq, a predicted model, not a curated record
UCUCAAGUGGAGUCUUGACGUGUGUGCAUAUAUAGGAUUUUAAUAUGUAUAUCGUUUGCAAAUUCGAUCCCUUCUAUGUUGGACCUUGCCCACCCGGCUGCCUAGUGCCAGCAGGAGGCUGUGCCAGCUGUCGUAAUUGCUGUGGAGGCUGCUGUGGUGGCGGUUGCUGCUAAGCGAUCAUUAUAGCGAGAUUAUAGCGAGAUUAUUUUUGCAAAUUGCCCUUUUAUGCUAUCUUUGAUGGAGACGCACGUGACAAGUAAACGUAACUCUGGACAAGGCUGAAGAUAUGUGUGUCUAUUUUAACAUCUGCCUAAAUGUUCAAUUUAAAUUCUCAGUAUUAAAUAUGUUAUAAAUUUA